RNAcentral lists this ribosomal RNA (253 nucleotides) under uncultured bacterium. Its description in RNAcentral is "partial 16S ribosomal RNA". It matches the Rfam family "Bacterial small subunit ribosomal RNA", at positions 524 to 776 of the family's 1533-position model. The record is from RNAcentral.
UACGAACCGUACGAACGUUAUUCGGAAUCACUGGGCUUAAAGGGUGCGUAGGCGGCGCGACAAGUUGGGUGUGAAAUCCCUCGGCUCAACCGAGGAACUGCGCCCAAAACUGUCGUGCUCGAGGGAGACAGAGGUGAGCGGAACUUAGGGUGGAGCGGUGAAAUGCGUUGAUAUCCUAAGGAACACCGGUGGCGAAAGCGGCUCACUGGGUCUCUUCUGACGCUGAGGCACGAAAGCUAGGGUAGCGAACGGG